AUGGCAAAGCAGGAGCAAAGAAAAAUCCCUUUGGCUCCAGAAAAUCUCCUGAAAGCAGAAGGCUUAUCAAGGCCUCAAAGCCACCCAGUCAAAGUAGGCACUUUUGGCAAAGGAGGAGCAGAGGGAAGGAAAAGAGCUCAGGUUUAAACGACUGGAAUCAUUCCUACAUGAUUCCUGGCGGCAGAAACAUGACAAGGUGUGUCUCAGACGACUAGAAGUAAAACCUCACACCUUGGAAUCGCCAGAUAAACAUUCCUUGGCCUUUGUUGUACGCGUCGAAAGGAUUGAUGGUGUGAGUUUACUGGUGCGGAGAGCCAUUGCAAGACUUAAACCUAAAAAUGCAGCGUAUAGUAUGUAACCUUAUGUGACCUGGGGAUUUCCAAAUCUGAAGUCUGUCCAGAAACUCAUUUUGAAACGUAGACAAGCCAAGGUCAAGAAUAAGACCAUCCCUCUGACAACACAGUGAUUGAGGAGCACCUGGGAAAGCUUGGUGUCUUUUGCUUGGAAGACCUCAUUCAUGAAAUUGCCUUCCCAAGGAAGCAUUUCCAGGAGAUCUCAUGGUUCUUGUCCCCUUUCCACCUCUCAGUGGACUGUCAUGCUACCAAAAAUAGUGGACUUUCUGAAGGAGAUUGGCACACCUCCAUCUUCUUGGGGGUGUGUGCAUCAAUCAGCUCAUCCGCCAGCUGAAC
This 689-nucleotide long non-coding RNA is filed under the name Homo sapiens (human). Its description in RNAcentral is "non-protein coding lnc-RHBDD2-2:1". Lineage: Eukaryota; Metazoa; Chordata; Mammalia; Primates; Hominidae. The record is from RNAcentral.